RNAcentral lists this ribosomal RNA (253 nucleotides) under uncultured bacterium. RNAcentral's name for it is "partial 16S ribosomal RNA". It matches the Rfam family "Bacterial small subunit ribosomal RNA", at positions 524 to 776 of the family's 1533-position model. The record is from RNAcentral.
GACAGAGGGUGCAAACGUUGCUCGGAAUUACUGGGCGUAAAGCGCGUGUAGGCGGUCACGCAAGUCAGGUGUGAAAGCCCAGGGCUCAACCCUGGAAGUGCACAUGAUACUACGUGGCUGGAGUACUGAAGAGGAGAGCGGAAUUCCCGGUGUAGAGGUGAAAUUCGUAGAUAUCGGGAGGAACACCAGUGGCGAAGGCGGCCGACUGGGCCGAUCCUGACGCUGAGACCCGAAAGCUAGGGUAGCGAACCGG